Molecule: ribosomal RNA, 495 nt
Filed under: uncultured bacterium
Lineage: Bacteria
Description: partial 16S ribosomal RNA
Rfam family: Bacterial small subunit ribosomal RNA
Source: RNAcentral
GACGAACGCUGGCGGCGUGCCUAAUACAUGCAAGUAGAACGCUGAAGGAGGAGCUUGCUCUUCUGGAUGAGUUGCGAACGGGUGAGUAACGCGUAGGUAACCUGCCUGGUAGCGGGGGAUAACUAUUGGAAACGAUAGCUAAUACCGCAUAAGAGUAGAUGUUGCAUGACAUUUACUUAAAAGGUGCAAUUGCAUCACUACCAGAUGGACCUGCGUUGUAUUAGCUAGUUGGUGGGGUAACGGCUUACCAAGGCGACGAUACAUAGCCGACCUGAGAGGGGGAUCGGCCACACUGGGACUGAGACACGGCCCAGACUCCUACGGGAGGCAGCAGUAGGGAAUCUUAGGCAAUGGACGGAAGUCUGACCGAGCAACGCCGCGUGAGUGAAGAAGGUUUUCGGAUCGGAAAGAUCUGGUGUAAGAGAAGAACGAGUGUGAGAGUGGAAAGUGCACACUGUGACGGUAUCUUACCAGAAAGGGACGGCUAACUACGUG